GACAGAGGGGGCAAGCGUUGCUCGGAAUUACUGGGCGUAAAGGGCGCGUAGGCGGGAUGGCAAGUCGGUCGUGAAAUCCCUCGGCUCAACCGAGGAACGUCGAUCGAUACUGCUGUUCUUGAGGAUUGCAGAGGAGACUGGAAUUCCUGGUGUAGCGGUGAAAUGCGCAGAUAUCAGGAAGAACACCCGUGGCUAAGGCGGCUCUCUAGUACGGUACUGACGCUGAGACGCGAAAGCGUGGGGAGCGAACAGG
RNAcentral lists this ribosomal RNA (253 nucleotides) under uncultured bacterium. Its description in RNAcentral is "partial 16S ribosomal RNA". It matches the Rfam family "Bacterial small subunit ribosomal RNA", at positions 524 to 776 of the family's 1533-position model. The record is from RNAcentral.